GUGGGGAAUAUUGGACAAUGGGCGAAAGCCUGAUCCAGCCAUGCCGCGUGUGUGAAGAAGGUCUUCGGAUUGUAAAGCACUUUAAGUUGGGAGGAAGGGCAGUAAGUUAAUACCUUGCUGUUUUGACGUUACCAACAGAAUAAGCACCGGCUAACUUCGUGCCAGCAGCCGCGGUAAUACGAAGGGUGCAAGCGUUAAUCGGAAUUACUGGGCGUAAAGCGCGCGUAGGUGGUUCAGCAAGUUGGAGGUGAAAUCCCCGGGCUCAACCUGGGAACUGCCUCCAAAACUGCAUGACUAGAGUACGGUAGAGGGUAGUGGAAUUUCCUGUGUAGCGGUGAAAUGCGUAGAUAUAGGAAGGAACACCAGUGGCGAAGGCGACUACCUGGACUGAUACUGACACUGAGGUGCGAAAGCGUGGGGAGCAAACAGGAUUAGAAACCCUAGUAGUCC
RNAcentral lists this ribosomal RNA (450 nucleotides) under uncultured bacterium. RNAcentral's name for it is "partial 16S ribosomal RNA". It matches the Rfam family "Bacterial small subunit ribosomal RNA", at positions 354 to 796 of the family's 1533-position model. The record is from RNAcentral.